UCCUACGGGAGGCAGCAGUGGGGAAUAUUGCACAAUGGGCGCAAGCCUGAUGCAGCGACGCCGCGUGAGGGAUGACGGCCUUCGGGUUGUAAACCUCUUUCAGUAGGGAAGAAGCGAAAGUGACGGUACCUGCAGAAGAAGCGCCGGCUAACUACGUGCCAGCAGCCGCGGUAAUACGUAGGGCGCAAGCGUUAUCCGGAAUUAUUGGGCGUAAAGAGCUCGUAGGCGGUUUGUCGCGUCUGCCGUGAAAGUCCGGGGCUCAACUCCGGAUCUGCGGUGGGUACGGGCAGACUAGAGUGAUGUAGGGGAGACUGGAAUUCCUGGUGUAGCGGUGAAAUGCGCAGAUAUCAGGAGGAACACCGAUGGCGAAGGCAGGUCUCUGGGCAUUAACUGACGCUGAGGAGCGAAAGCAUGGGGAGCGAACAGGAUUAGAUACCCUGGUAGUCCAUGCCGUAAACGUUGGGCACUAGGUGUGGGGGACAUUCCACGUUUUCCGCGCCGUAGCUAACGCAUUAAGUGCCCCGCCUGGGGAGUACGGCCGCAAGGCUAAAACUCAAAGGAAUUGACGGA
RNAcentral lists this ribosomal RNA (570 nucleotides) under uncultured soil bacterium. Its description in RNAcentral is "bacterial SSU rRNA". It matches the Rfam family "Bacterial small subunit ribosomal RNA", at positions 337 to 917 of the family's 1533-position model. The record is from RNAcentral.